AAUCUCAGGCAUUCAGCGUUUGGGUGAAGACGAAGGCAGGUUCUGGACAGACUUACGCUGUCAGGGAGUGUUGACUUCGCCUCCACUUCUGUUCCUCCCCGCCGUGGUGCUGCUCCGGGUCACAUAUCGUUCUGAGCCAGCUUCAGCCUCUCCGCGCAGAAGUCUCCCAGAGCCAUGGCCGAGUACUCUUAUGUGAAGUCUACCAAGCUUGUGCAUAAGGGAACCAAGGCGAAGAGAUUUGCCUGAGGUUGACUAUACAUACAAAUAUUGAGCAUUUCCUCCUGGUCUCCGUGAUAAACAAAGGUUUUGAUAUUGUUCGGCGAGAUGGAAAGAAAAUAUCAAGGAGUGAGCUGAAGCCACUGCCCUUGAGAACCCUCUCGAGGAGUCUGGCCUCAUGAAGAUGCCAGAAUAAACGGCAGAUAUAUCCUGAAUGAAUGUGAGAUUUUUACCCUGUGAAUUUCCUGUGAGGAGUGUAAGAAGAAAAAGAGGAAAGAUAAGAAGAGAAAAAGAGAAGAAGAUGAAGAAACCCAGUUUGAUAUGUUGAUUAGAUCCUGUGCUGAAAGAGAAACCAAGAAAAAAGAUGACAUUCCAGAAGAAUACAAAGGAAAUGUAAAACAAUGUGAAAUCAAUUAUGUAAAGAAAUUUCAGAGCUUCCAAGACCAAAAACUUAAAAUAAGUAAAGAAGAGAGUAAAAUUCUUAAAAAAGGCUCAGAAAGAUGGAUUUUUGCAUGAGACGCUUCUGGACAGAGAACCAAAUUGAAAGCCAACAGAUACUGCAAAUGACUGGAAUUUUUGUUUCUGCCUUAUCUUUUUGUGUUUUUUUUCUGAAUAAAAUAUUCAGAGGAAAUGCUUUUACAGAGUUCUUGAGUUGUUGUGAAAUUAUUAUUUAGCUAGUACCUAGUUUAACCAGGAUUAAACAAGUUUAAUCAGGAUUCUUCAUGGAUGUACUUUUUAGCUAACUACAGUUUUUCACAUGGAAAUGAAACUUACAG
RNAcentral lists this long non-coding RNA (992 nucleotides) under Homo sapiens (human). Its description in RNAcentral is "HSALNT0404763". The record is from RNAcentral. Lineage: Eukaryota; Metazoa; Chordata; Mammalia; Primates; Hominidae.